This 280-nucleotide small RNA is filed under the name Peromyscus maniculatus bairdii (prairie deer mouse). Its description in RNAcentral is "7SK RNA (ENSPEMG00000003754.2)". It matches the Rfam family "7SK RNA", at positions 1 to 261 of the family's 331-position model. From Rfam's summary of the family: 7SK was discovered as an abundant small nuclear RNA in the mid-70s but a possible function has only recently been suggested. Two independent studies have found that 7SK RNA binds the CDK9/cyclin T complex (known as elongation factor P-TEFb). The record is from RNAcentral. Lineage: Eukaryota; Metazoa; Chordata; Mammalia; Rodentia; Cricetidae.
GUAUGUGACAGUGGCCUGGCUGUGACCUCUGUCCCCUCACUGAUUGUCAGGGUUGAUUUGGCUGGUCUGUCUGGCUAGGUGGGUACCCCUCCUUCCUCAGAGCUCCAUGUGCACCCCUCCCAAGGCUGCGUGGUUGGUCCAAGAGGACAACCUUCCCCUUUUCCUCCAGAGAAGACCAUCCUUGGGCCAAGGGCAUACACGGAGAUGCACUCUCCAGCUCAAACCUUCAAACAAGCUUUUGAGGUUCGUAAAGGAACCAGGGAGGGCUGAUGGGAGAGCU